This 462-nucleotide ribosomal RNA is filed under the name uncultured bacterium. RNAcentral describes it as "bacterial SSU rRNA". It matches the Rfam family "Bacterial small subunit ribosomal RNA", at positions 331 to 792 of the family's 1533-position model. The record is from RNAcentral.
CCAGACUCCUACGGGAGGCAGCAGUGAGGAAUAUUGGUCAAUGGGCGAUAGCCUGAACCAGCCAAGUCGCGUGAGGGAAGACGGCCCUAUGGGUUGUAAACCUCUUUUGUCGGGGAGCGAGGCCGCUACGUGUAGUGAUUUGAGAGUACCCGAAGAAAAAGCAUCGGCUAACUCCGUGCCAGCAGCCGCGGUAAUACGGAGGAUGCGAGCGUUAUCCGGAUUUAUUGGGUUUAAAGGGUGCGCAGGCGGAUUUUUAAGUCAGCGGUCAAAUCGUGGGGCUCAACCCCAUCCAGCCGUUGAAACUGGGGAUCUAGAGUGUGCGAGAGGUAUGCGGAAUGCGUGGUGUAGCGGUGAAAUGCAUAGAUAUCACGCAGAACCCCGAUUGCGAAGGCAGCAUACCGGUGCACAACUGACGCUCAGGCACGAAAGCGUGGGUAUCGAACAGGAUUAGAUACCCCAGUA